Molecule: ribosomal RNA, 305 nt
Filed under: uncultured bacterium
Lineage: Bacteria
Description: bacterial SSU rRNA
Rfam family: Bacterial small subunit ribosomal RNA
Source: RNAcentral
UUGGUCCUACGGGGCGCAGCAGUGGGGAAUAUUGGGCAAUGGGCGCAAGCCUGACCCAGCGACGCCGCGUGAGGGAAGACGGUCUUCGGAUUGUAAACCUCUUUCAGCAGGGAAGACAAAAGGACGGUACCUGCAGAAGAAGCCACGGCUAACUCCGUGCCAGCAGCCGCGGUAAUACGGAGGGCGCGAGCGUUAAUCGGAAUUACUGGGCGUAAAGCGCGCGUAGGCUGUUGUGUAAGUUGGGGGUGAAAUCCCACGGCUCAACCGUGGAACAGCCCUUGAUACUGCGCGACUUGAAUCCGGGG